AUCUUAAACACUUGUUACAUGGCACCUGAUACUUUAUUACAUUUCUAGUGGCGGACGGGUGAGUAACACGUUGGAACCUGCCCCAAAGUGAGGAAUAAGCCACCGAAAGGUGGUCUAAUACUUCAUAAUAUCCAUCUCGUAUGGAUUAAAGCUUUAUGCGCUUUGGGAGGGGCCUGCGUAACAUUAGCUAGUUGGUGAGGGUAAAAGCUCACCAAGGCUUCGAUGUUUAACUGGUUUGAGAGGAUGACCAGUCACACUGGGACUGAGAUACGGCCCAGACUCCUACGGGAGGCAGCAAUAAGGAAUCUUCCACAAUGGGGCAACCCUGAUGGAGCAAUACCGCGUGCAGGAUGAAGCGUUUCGGCGUGUAAACUGCUUUUAUCACCGAAGAUUAUGACUGUAGGUGAAGAAUAAGGACCGGCUAACUACGUG
Molecule: ribosomal RNA, 432 nt
Filed under: uncultured bacterium
Lineage: Bacteria
Description: bacterial SSU rRNA
Rfam family: Bacterial small subunit ribosomal RNA
Source: RNAcentral